This 547-nucleotide ribosomal RNA is filed under the name uncultured bacterium. Its description in RNAcentral is "bacterial SSU rRNA". It matches the Rfam family "Bacterial small subunit ribosomal RNA", at positions 355 to 896 of the family's 1533-position model. The record is from RNAcentral.
UGGGGAAUAUUGCGCAAUGGGGGGAACCCUGACGCAGCCAUGNCGCGUGAAUGAAGAAGGCCUUCGGGUUGUAAAGUUCUUUCGGUAUUGAGGAAGGUUGAUGUGUUAAUAGCACAUCAAAUUGACGUUAAAUACAGAAGAAGCACCGGCUAACUCCGUGCCAGCAGCCGCGGUAAUACGGAGGGUGCGAGCGUUAAUCGGAAUAACUGGGCGUAAAGGGCACGCAGGCGGUUAUUUAAGUGAGGUGUGAAAGCCCCGGGCUUAACCUGGGAAUUGCAUUUCAGACUGGGUAACUAGAGUACUUUAGGGAGGGGUAGAAUUCCACGUGUAGCGGUGAAAUGCGUAGAGAUGUGGAGGAAUACCGAAGGCGAAGNNAGCCCCUUGGGAAUGUACUGACGCUCAUGUGCGAAAGCGUGGGGAGCAAACAGGAUUAGAUACCCUGGUAGUCCACGCUGUAAACGCUGUCGAUUUGGGGGUUGGGGUUUAACUCUGGCGCCCGUAGCUAACGUGAUAAAUCGACCGCCUGGGGAGUACGGCCGCAAGGUUA